UGCGGCCGCCAUCCACUCAGACCGACUAAAAUGCAAUCUGUAUUCCAGAAGGCUCUAAACAGGAUGGCCAAAAUUGCUUAACCCAGAACAUCUCACGGCCAACUGAUUCCAAAUGACUGUUCCACCAUUUUAAAAUAUCACUCCUGGAAUGCCUAAUUUUGAGAUUCUGUACAAGCAUCAGUAAUUGACUGUUGGGGAGAGAGAAAGAUAUUUUGGAUUGAUUUAACCAACUUUUUGUUCACAACCAAAAGCUGAUUAAAGG
Non-coding RNA from Vicugna pacos (alpaca), 262 nucleotides. The record is from RefSeq and is a predicted model, not a curated record. Lineage: Eukaryota; Metazoa; Chordata; Mammalia; Artiodactyla; Camelidae.